This 452-nucleotide ribosomal RNA is filed under the name uncultured archaeon. RNAcentral's name for it is "bacterial SSU rRNA". It matches the Rfam family "Archaeal small subunit ribosomal RNA", at positions 85 to 538 of the family's 1478-position model. The record is from RNAcentral.
ACUGCUCAGUAACACGUAGCUAACCUGCCCUUAGAUCAGUUAUAACCUCGGGAAACUGAGGAUAAAAACUGAUAGAAGAUAUUUUCUGGAAUGAUUUAUCUUUUAAACUUUGGUCUAAGGAUGGGGCUGCGGUGGAUUAGGUAGUUGGCGGGGUAAAGGCCCACCAAGCCGAUGAUCCAUAAGGGCUCUUAGCGGAGAGGCCCUGAGAGGGAAUCUGAGACACUAUUCCCAGCCCUACGGGGUGCAGCAGUUAGGGAACUUUUGCAAUGCGCGCAAGCGUGACAAAGUAAGCCAGAGUGUUUUUCAUAAAUUUUGAAAAACUUUUGCCUGUUUUAAAAAGACAGGAGAAUAAGGACUGGGCAAGACCGGUGCCAGCCGCCGCGGUAAUCCCGGCGGUCCAAGUCGCGGCCACAAUUAUUGGGUCUAAAACAUUCGUAGCUUGUUUUGUAAGU